ACUCCUACGGGAGGCAGCAGUAGGGAAUCUUCGGCAAUGGACGAAAGUCUGACCGAGCAACGCCGCGUGAGUGAAGAAGGUUUUCGGAUCGUAAAACUCUGUUGGUAGAGAAGANCGUUGGUGAGAGUGGAAAG
Molecule: ribosomal RNA, 134 nt
Filed under: uncultured bacterium
Lineage: Bacteria
Description: partial 16S ribosomal RNA
Rfam family: Bacterial small subunit ribosomal RNA
Source: RNAcentral